UACGUAGGGUGCGAGCGUUGUCCGGAAUUAUUGGGCGUAAAGAGCUCGUAGGCGGUCUGUCGCGUCUGCUGUGAAAACUGGAGGCUCAACCUCCAGCCUGCAGUGGGUACGGGCAGACUAGAGUGCGGUAGGGGAGAAUGGAACUCCUGGUGUAGCGGUGGAAUGCGCAGAUAUCAGGAAGAACACCGAUGGCGAAGGCAGUUCUCUGGGCCGUAACUGACGCUGAGGAGCGAAAGCGUGGGGAGCGAACAGG
RNAcentral lists this ribosomal RNA (253 nucleotides) under uncultured bacterium. Its description in RNAcentral is "partial 16S ribosomal RNA". It matches the Rfam family "Bacterial small subunit ribosomal RNA", at positions 524 to 776 of the family's 1533-position model. The record is from RNAcentral.